GAACGGAUCCUUCGGGAUUAGUGGCAGACGGGUGAGUAACGCGUGGGAAGCUACCUUGUGGUAGGGAACAACAGUUGGAAACGACUGCUAAUACCCUAUGAGCCCUAUGGGGGAAAGAUUUAUCGCCAUGAGAUGUGCCCGCGUUAGAUUAGCUAGUUGGUAAGGUAAUGGCUUACCAAGGCGACGAUCUAUAGCUGGUCUGAGAGGAUGAUCAGCCACACUGGGACUGAGACACGGCCCAGACUCCUACGGGAGGCAGCAGUGGGGAAUAUUGGACAAUGGGGGCAACCCUGAUCCAGCCAUGCCGCGUGAGUGAUGACGGCCUUAGGGUUGUAAAGCUCUUUCAGCAGUGAAGAUAAUGACAUUAACUGCAGAAGAAGCCCCGGCUAACUUCGUGCCAGCAGCCGCGGUAAUACGAAGGGGGCUAGCGUUGUUCGGAAUCACUGGGCGUAAAGCGUACGUAGGCGGACUGAUCAGUCAGGGGUGAAAUCCCGGGGCUCAACCCCGGAACUGCCUUUGAUACUGUCAGUCUUGAGAUCGAGAGAGGUGAGUGGAACUCCGAGUGUAGAGGUGAAAUUCGUAGAUAUUCGGAAGAACACCAGUGGCGAAGGCGGCUCACUGGCUCGAUACUGACGCUGAG
RNAcentral lists this ribosomal RNA (640 nucleotides) under Pseudovibrio sp. RNAcentral describes it as "bacterial SSU rRNA". It matches the Rfam family "Bacterial small subunit ribosomal RNA", at positions 64 to 750 of the family's 1533-position model. Lineage: Bacteria; Pseudomonadati; Pseudomonadota; Alphaproteobacteria; Hyphomicrobiales; Stappiaceae. The record is from RNAcentral.